This 469-nucleotide ribosomal RNA is filed under the name uncultured microorganism. RNAcentral's name for it is "bacterial SSU rRNA". It matches the Rfam family "Bacterial small subunit ribosomal RNA", at positions 9 to 524 of the family's 1533-position model. The record is from RNAcentral.
GAGUUUGAUCAUGGCUCAGAACGAACGCUGGCGGCAUGCCUAACACAUGCAAGUCGAGCGAACUCUUCGGAGUUAGUGGCGCACGGGUGCGUAACGCGUGGGAAUCUGCCCUUGGGUACGGAAUAACUCAGAGAAAUUUGUGCUAAUACCGUAUAAUGACUUCGGUCCAAAGAUUUAUCGCCCAAGGAUGAGCCCGCGUAAGAUUAGCUAGUUGGUGGGGUAAAGGCCUACCAAGGCUACGAUCUUUAGCUGGUCUGAGAGGAUGAUCAGCCACACUGGGACUGAGACACGGCCCAGACUCCUACGGGAGGCAGCAGUGGGGAAUAUUGGACAAUGGGCGAAAGCCUGAUCCAGCAAUGCCGCGUGAGUGAUGAAGGCCUUAGGGUUGUAAAGCUCUUUUACCCGGGAUGAUAAUGACAGUACCGGGAGAAUAAGCUCCGGCUAACUCCGUGCCAGCCGCCGCGGUAAC